This 419-nucleotide ribosomal RNA is filed under the name uncultured bacterium. RNAcentral's name for it is "bacterial SSU rRNA". It matches the Rfam family "Bacterial small subunit ribosomal RNA", at positions 355 to 774 of the family's 1533-position model. The record is from RNAcentral.
UGGGGAAUAUUGCGCAAUGGCCGAAAGGCUGACGCAGCGACGCCGCGUGGGGGAUGAAGCAUUUCGGUGUGUAAACCCCUGUUGCCCGGGACGAACAAGCAGAUUUUUCUGCUCUGACGGUACCGGGUGAGGAAGCACCGGCUAACUCCGUGCCAGCAGCCGCGGUAAUACGGAGGGUGCGAGCGUUGUCCGGAAUCACUGGGCGUAAAGGGCGCGUAGGCGGUCUGCUAAGCGUGCGGUGAAAGCCCGGGGCUCAACCCCGGGUCUGCCGUGCGAACUGGUGGACUAGAGCACUGUAGAGGCAGGUGGAAUUCCGGGUGUAGUGGUGAAAUACGUAGAUAUCUGGAAGAACACCAGUUGCGAAGGCGGUCUCUUGGUCCGACACUGACGCUGAGGCGCGAAAGCGUGGGGAGCAAACA